CCAAGACCCAAAACAAUAGAAAAGAACUAAGCUUGACACUUUGAAUCCUGGGUCGUAGUUUCAGUCAACUCUGAAGCUCUCCUAUGCACUCCCAUAUCUUUUCCUUAUUUACUUGAUUUAUUUACUUGAUUUGUGUUCCAUUUUCUUUCCUUUUUGUUCUUACCUACCUAGAUUGGGAGUCGAAAUUUUAGUCCCAAUUCUAGUCCAAACGGCUAUCUUGUUUGAAGACUCGCAUGAUUUUCUUUCCAUUUGAGCACCCGCAGAUUUAAAAUCAACUGGAUGAAUGUAGAUAGAUUUGGGGGUAAGUGUUCUUUGUUUCUCAUAUUGAUCCAAUCGCAAUUAUAGAAUAUUUCUUUUGAUUUUCGAAUUUUAAAGGAAGUGUAAUUUUUGAAUUUUUACUGAUUAUAUGGAACUAAUUUUUCCCCAAAAACUAUAGUACCUUGUUUUUUAGCAUUAAUCAACAACGGCUCUUUUCAAAGAAAAUUUGCUUGUAAUGAUACACAAUUUUUACUGAUUUCUUUCCUUCCUAAUUACAAACGUUUAUUUUAUUCAAAGCUAUAAAUAUUGGCAUCCUUGGCACUUCAAGAGGGGGAAAAAAAGAAGAAAUUGGCAUUUUCGAUCACUACUUUCACUGCAACUAUAGCAAUUUUCACUAUUGAGAUAUUACUGUAAUUGCCUCUCCGCUUGCCGGCUAUAAGCUAAGGGAAAGCUUGGUUCUUUACCCUCACUUAAUAUAAAUACUGCUCGAAACUCUCGAGGUUCUCAUGAUCUCAAAGUAUCAAGUUCGGGUAUCAAUAGUAGAUGUUGUUCAACUUCAUUUUCGGCGAUUAGUUAUUGGACUUUAAUCGUGAUUCGGAUUUCUGGCUUUUUAUAUUUAUCUCUGCACGUCAAACUGGUUAGUCUUUUAGACGACUCAUUUAAAUUUCGUAUGUGAUAAUUGUAUGUAAAAUAGUUAGUUUUAAUUCACACAUGAUAUGUUGCUUGAAUGCUAAAAGCAUUCUACUUGGAAGCGCGCAGGUUAGCGCUCUUCUCCUUUCUCCAGAAUUUUGCCUUAUGUGUGUAUGAAAUUUUGUAUGCAUAUGGCCGUGCUGCCAGUGCCAGGUAACACUCUAUUGAAAGCACAUGCCAUUAGAAAAUAACUACGUCUCUUAAUCCUUGUAUGUCUUAUUGUCCUUGCAAGCCUUUUUGUGACUAUUUGCGCACUAGAAACAAGGUCUUAGUCUCAAUGGAUGUUAAAAUUCUCUUGUCUAUUAAUCUGAUUAAAAGCAUGGUUAUUACUCUUCCUGAAUAUCUAUUCUUGUUAAAGCCAAGUAGAGAUUAUGUUUUAGGAUUAACCUAGCCAAUAGGAACAAUAAUGCUUGAACUAUAUUGUAGGUUCAAAAGAUUAAUUCAUUGUAAGACUUCAUGCUUAUCCUCAUUAAAAUUGGAACAACAUCUACUGCUCUUCUAUGCCUUUGACUAGUGAAUAUGAUCAUUUGCUGAUCAUUUGGACACCAUGCCUGGUAGAGUAAUUCAUGAACAAUAUUUGCUUGCUUUUCGUGUUUGAUCUUGCUGUGUGAACAUGUUUCUGUGUUUAAUUACAUAGAUAUCAUAUUUUAUGUUCAAUCAUGUGCUUGAAUAUCACCUAGAUACCAUGCCUUCAAGAUUAACAAGCAUGGUCCCUAUUAAGAAAAGGGGUUUGAGUAAUCUAUAAUAUACGAAAUCAUAGUGUGCUUAUUCUAUGCCUAUUUGAUUUAAUAGAGAUAUAGUUUUAACUAUCCUUAGGUUAUAGCUGAAUAAGUUUUGUUAAAGCUAGUAGUUUCAAACCUUUUCUAUGUUUAUGUGAUUAGGAGGAUCAAUGUGAGGAGAUUUUGUUAUAAAAAUUAUAACCCGUGCUGUAAAAGUCCAUGUGCUAUGAGCAUAUAAUCCAUAUGUGUGUUUAGCUCUUUAUGCGCGUGUGCAAUUUGUAUUAAGUGAAUUGCAGGUAUCUAAAUUUGGUUUGGAUGAGAAUUUGGGUCGCCGUAAAUGCAAGGCCUAAAAGAGGGGUCAACCUGGAGUUCUGAAGCUGUCUAGUUAUUUUCCUAGGCCAUACCAUUUUUAUCUACUUGAGCAUGUAAUAAGACACUGAUAGUUGUGAAGGGAUAUUGGAAAA
This 2131-nucleotide long non-coding RNA is filed under the name Nicotiana tabacum (common tobacco). RNAcentral describes it as "long non-coding RNA (NTAB_LNC013079)". Lineage: Eukaryota; Viridiplantae; Streptophyta; Magnoliopsida; Solanales; Solanaceae. The record is from RNAcentral.